Non-coding RNA from Sordaria brevicollis, 106 nucleotides. NCBI's taxonomy places the organism in Eukaryota, Fungi, Ascomycota, Sordariomycetes, Sordariales, Sordariaceae. The record is from the annotation of a GenBank genome assembly.
GCCCCCGUGGUGUAAUGGUAUCACGGGACGCGUUACAGAACCAACGAUCCUGAGAACAGGCGGCCAGGGGACGAACAAGUCUGUGGUUCGAUUCACGGCGGUGGCA